UCCACAGUCAAAAGUGAUGUAUAUUCCUUUGGGGUGGUUCUGUUUGAACUUCUUACAGGACAGAGAGCCAUUGCAGACAGCCAAAAUGAUAGUGGUCAAGAAUCACCUCUAAGUUUAGCUACAUCUCCAGUGACUUUGAGAACGCUCAAGAAGACUCCAAGACCAUUGAAGAUUAACCAGAUAAGAAAUUGGGUAGAUCCAAAUCUUUACACUUCUUAUCCAGAAAGCAUCUUUUGCAAGACUGCUGAGAUUGCACAGAGAUGUUUAGAUGAGAAUCCUUCCAGGAGGCCUAACGUGAGAGAGAUAGUAUACAGUUUAUCCCGUAUUUUGUUGGAAUCCAUUGAAUGGGAUGGUGCUCUUGCAGGAGGAAGUCAGGUCUUUAGUGGUCUCAGACACGGGAGAUGAUGACUAAAUUCCUUUGUAGAAAAUGUUUUGGGUGCUUCACAGUAGGAACCAUUCUGUCAUAAAUGUGUCAUUAUUAUCAUGUAAUCUGGUUUCUAUCUUCAAUAUUCAAAGAAUUAGUAUAUAAGAUUUAUAUUCCUCCUCUACAGGAAGUGAAGAAUAGAUAGAUGGGCCAAGCCUGAAAAUUGUCAGUGCAUCAAUAAGCCAGAUUUUUUUUAAGCUUCCGUGACUGAGGGACAAACAGAAAAUACAAAUAUACAGUUAGUGCACCAAUAAACUGAUUUUAAUAAACUCUUGUGAUC
Cryptomeria japonica (Japanese cedar) is the source of this 704-nucleotide long non-coding RNA. RefSeq lists it as uncharacterized. The record is from RefSeq and is a predicted model, not a curated record. The transcript is spliced from 3 exons. NCBI's taxonomy places the organism in Eukaryota, Viridiplantae, Streptophyta, Pinopsida, Cupressales, Cupressaceae.